Molecule: ribosomal RNA, 490 nt
Filed under: uncultured bacterium
Lineage: Bacteria
Description: partial 16S ribosomal RNA
Rfam family: Bacterial small subunit ribosomal RNA
Source: RNAcentral
AUUGAACGCUGGCGGCAGGCCUAACACAUGCAAGUCGAACGGUAACAGGAAACAGCUUGCUGUUUCGCUGACGAGUGGCGGACGGGUGAGUAAUGUCUGGGAAACUGCCUGAUGGAGGGGGAUAACUACUGGAAACGGUAGCUAAUACCGCAUAACGUCGCAAGACCAAAGAGGGGGACCCUCGGGCCUCUUGCCAUCGGAUGUGCCCAGAUGGGAUUAGCUUGUUGGUGGGGUAACGGCUCUCCAAGGCGACGAUCCCUAGCUGGUCUGAGAGGAUGACCAGCCACACUGGAACUGAGACACGGUCCAGACUCCUACGGGAGGCAGCAGUGGGGAAUAUUGCACAAUGGGCGCAAGCCUGAUGCAGCCAUGCCGCGUGUAUGAAGAAGGCCUUCGGGUUGUAAAGUACUUUCAGCGGGGAGGAAGGGAGUAAAGUUAAUACCUUGGCUCAUUGACGUUACCCGCAGAAGAAGCACCGGCUAACUCCGUG